GACGAACGCUGGCGGCGUGCUUAAUACAUGCAAGUCGAGCGGACGAAUCCAAAGCUUGUUUUUGAUUCGUUAGCGGCGGACGGGUGAGUAACACGUGGGCCACCUGCCCUGUAGACGGGGAUAACACCGAGAAAUCGGCGCUAAUACCGGAUAACACGAAAUGUCGCAUUACGUUUCGUUGAAAGACGGCGCAAGCUGUCGCUACAGGAUGUUCCCGCGGGGCAUGAGCUAGUUGGGGGGGUAACGGCUCACCAAGGCGACGAUGCGUAGCCGACCUGAGGGGGUGGUCGCCCACACUGGGACGGAGACACGGACCAGACGCCUGCGGGAGGCAGCAGUAGGGAAUCUUCCGCAAUGGACGAAAGUCUGACGGAGCAGCGGCGCGUGAGCGAAGAAGGCCUUCGGGUCGUAAAGCUCUGUUGUUAGGGAAGAACAAGUAACGCAGUAACUGGAGUGAGCGUGACGGUACCUAACGAGAAAGCAACGGCUAACUACGUG
RNAcentral lists this ribosomal RNA (498 nucleotides) under uncultured bacterium. RNAcentral's name for it is "partial 16S ribosomal RNA". It matches the Rfam family "Bacterial small subunit ribosomal RNA", at positions 28 to 507 of the family's 1533-position model. The record is from RNAcentral.